This 253-nucleotide ribosomal RNA is filed under the name uncultured bacterium. RNAcentral's name for it is "partial 16S ribosomal RNA". It matches the Rfam family "Bacterial small subunit ribosomal RNA", at positions 524 to 776 of the family's 1533-position model. The record is from RNAcentral.
UACGUAGGGAGCAAGCGUUGUCCGGAAUCAUUGGGCGUAAAGCGCGCGUAGGCGGCCCCGUAAGUCCGCUGUGAAAGUCAAAGGCUCAACCUUUGAAAGCCGGUGGAUACUGUGUGGCUAGAGUCCGGAAGAGGCGAGUGGAAUUCCUGGUGUAGCGGUGGAAUGCGCAGAUAUCAGGAGGAACACCAAUAGCGAAGGCAGCUCGCUGGGACGGUACUGACGCUAAGGCGCGAAAGCGUGGGGAGCGAACAGG